Molecule: ribosomal RNA, 446 nt
Filed under: uncultured bacterium
Lineage: Bacteria
Description: bacterial SSU rRNA
Rfam family: Bacterial small subunit ribosomal RNA
Source: RNAcentral
UGGGGAAUAUUGGACAAUGGGGGAAACCCUGAUCCAGCAAUGCCGCGUGAAUGAAGAAGGCCUUAGGGUUGUAAAGUUCUUUCACCUGUGAAGAUAAUGACGGUAGCAGGAGAAGAAGCCCCGGCUAACUCCGUGCCAGCAGCCGCGGUAAGACGGAGGGGGCUAGCGUUGUUCGGAAUGACUGGGCGUAAAGGGCGCGUAGGCGGCUUUUAAGUGAGGCGUGAAAGCCCUGGGCUUAACCCAGGAGGUGCGUUUCAUACUGAAAGGCUUGAGUACGAGAGAGGAAAGUGGAAUUCCUAGUGUAGAGGUGAAAUUCGUAGAUAUUAGGAAGAACACCAGUGGCGAAGGCGGCUUUCUGGCUCGUAACUGACGCUGAGGCGCGAAAGCGUGGGGAGCAAACAGGAUUAGAUACCCUAGUAGUCCCUGAGCGGGCUGGCAAGGCGCAU